RNAcentral lists this non-coding RNA (28 nucleotides) under Mus musculus (house mouse). The record is from RNAcentral. Lineage: Eukaryota; Metazoa; Chordata; Mammalia; Rodentia; Muridae.
UAAUAUGGUCCAUGUUUCNCAGGCAGGC